RNAcentral lists this unclassified non-coding RNA (338 nucleotides) under Hevea brasiliensis (rubber tree). Lineage: Eukaryota; Viridiplantae; Streptophyta; Magnoliopsida; Malpighiales; Euphorbiaceae. The record is from RNAcentral.
GGGCAGAUUUGAUUGUGUUGGGCACCUUUAUCACUGAGCGUUGUCGCUGUGUCGGAGGAGCCUCCUUCCUUUUCUUUCUCAAAAAUUUUUUCCUUUCUUUCACUCCUGAUUCUCCGUGGCUUUGUCACCUUAUGACACCAAUUUUUUGUCAUGUUGUUGGUGAUAUCUCACAUCCUCUGCCACUCCAAAACUAUAUACAAGACAAAAUAUGCCCUCAAGUCAGCCAGUGUCGGCAGCAACUACGACAUGACUAGCGAGUGAAUAGACGUUUCUUGUUUCUCAGGGGACAAUGAUAACAACGUUCAUGCCUAAUAACAUGUUUGGUACUCUGGUUUCGG